This 497-nucleotide ribosomal RNA is filed under the name uncultured bacterium. RNAcentral's name for it is "partial 16S ribosomal RNA". It matches the Rfam family "Bacterial small subunit ribosomal RNA", at positions 28 to 507 of the family's 1533-position model. The record is from RNAcentral.
GAUGAACGCUGGCGGCGUGCCUAAUACAUGCAAGUCGAGCGAACAGACGAGGAGCUUACUCCUCUGACGUUAGCGGCGGACGGGUGAGUAACACGUGGAUAACCUACCUAUAAGACUGGGAUAACUUCGGGAAACCGGAGCUAAUACCGGAUAACAUGUUGAACCGCAUGGUUCAACAGUGAAAGACGGUCUUGCUGUCACUUAUAGAUGGAUCCGCGUCGCAUUAGCUAGUUGGUAAGGUAACGGCUUACCAAGGCAACGAUGCGUAGCCGACCUGAGAGGGGGAUCGGCCACACUGGAGGUGAGACACGGUCCAGACUCCUACGGGAGGCAGCAGUAGGGAAUCUUCCGCAAUGGGCGAAAGCCUGACGGAGCAACGCCGCGUGAGUGAAGAAGGUCUUCGGAUCGUAAAACUCUGUUAUUAGGGAAGAACAAAUGUGUAAGUAACUAUGCACGUCUUGACGGUACCUAAUCAGAAAGCCACGGCUAACUACGUG